This 392-nucleotide ribosomal RNA is filed under the name uncultured bacterium. RNAcentral describes it as "partial 16S ribosomal RNA". It matches the Rfam family "Bacterial small subunit ribosomal RNA", at positions 523 to 918 of the family's 1533-position model. The record is from RNAcentral.
AUACGGAGGAUCCGAGCGUUAUCCGGAUUUAUCGGGUUUAAAGGGUGCGCAGGCGGCCAUUUAAGUCAGCGGUUAAAUCGUGGGGCUCAACCCCAUUCUGCCGUUGAUACUGGGUGGCUUGAUUGCGGUCGAGGUUGGCGGAAUUCGUUGUGUAGCGGUGAAAUGCAUAGAUAUGACGAAGAACACCGAUUGCGUAGGCAGCUGACCAGACCGCAAAUGACGCUCAUGCACGAAAGUGCGGGGAUCGAACAGGAUUAGAUACCCUGGUAGUCCGCACAGUAAACGAUGAAUACUUGUUUUCGGCGAUAUAAUGUCGGAGGCAAAGCGAAAGCGAUAAGUAUUCCACCUGGGGAGUACGCCGGCAACGGUGAAACUCAAAUGAAUUGGCGGGG